RNAcentral lists this ribosomal RNA (482 nucleotides) under uncultured bacterium. RNAcentral's name for it is "bacterial SSU rRNA". It matches the Rfam family "Bacterial small subunit ribosomal RNA", at positions 30 to 506 of the family's 1533-position model. The record is from RNAcentral.
AUUGAACGCUGGCGGCAUGCCUUACACAUGCAAGUCGAACGGCAGCACGGGAGCAAUCCUGGUGGCGAGUGGCGAACGGGUGAGUAAUAUAUCGGAACGUGCCCAGUCGUGGGGAUAACGUAGCGAAAGCUACGCUAAUACCGCAUACGAUCUAUGGAUGAAAGCGGGGGAUCGCAAGACCUCGCGCGAUUGGAGCGGCCGAUAUCAGAUUAGGUAGUUGGUGAGGUAAAGGCUCACCAAGCCGACGAUCUGUAGCUGGUCUGAGAGGACGACCAGCCACACUGGGACUGAGACACGGCCCAGACUCCUACGGGAGGCAGCAGUGGGGAAUUUUGGACAAUGGACGCAAGUCUGAUCCAGCCAUUCCGCGUGCAGGAUGAAGGCCCUCGGGUUGUAAACUGCUUUUGUACGGAACGAAACGGUGAGCUCUAAUACAGUUUGCUAAUGACGGUACCGUAAGAAUAAGCACCGGCUAACUACGU